This 478-nucleotide ribosomal RNA is filed under the name uncultured bacterium. Its description in RNAcentral is "partial 16S ribosomal RNA". It matches the Rfam family "Bacterial small subunit ribosomal RNA", at positions 28 to 507 of the family's 1533-position model. The record is from RNAcentral.
GAUGAACGCUGGCGGCGUGCUUAACACAUGCAAGUCGAACGGGAAACCUUUUAUUGAAGCUUCGGCAGAUUUAGCUGGUUUCUAGUGGCGGACGGGUGAGUAACGCGUGGGUAACCUGCCUUAUACAGGGGGAUAACAACCAGAAAUGGUUGCUAAUACCGCAUAAGCGCACAGGACCGCAUGGUCCGGUGUGAAAAACUCCGGUGGUAUAAGAUGGACCCGCGUUGGAUUAGCUAGUUGGCAGGGUAACGGCCUACCAAGGCGACGAUCCAUAGCCGGCCUGAGAGGGUGAACGGCCACAUUGGGACUGAGACACGGCCCAGACUCCUACGGGAGGCAGCAGUGGGGAAUAUUGCACAAUGGGGGAAAACCUGAUGCAGCGACGCCGCGUGAAGGAAGAAGUUUCUCGGUAUGUAAACUUCUAUCAGCAGGGAAGAUAGUGACGGUACCUGACUAAGAAGCCCCGGCUAACUACGUG